GUGGAUGGUUAAGAAGAACUUAUCAUGGCCAUGGAAAGGCAAUGAGCGAGAAGUAUCAGAGGCAAAGGCUACACGAUUUGUUUGGCCCUGGCUAAACAAUGACCAAGAUAAUGAGUGGAAUCAUUUCAAGAGUUCAAAUGCAGUAUCAACACCAGAUGAUCAGAUUAUCGAAAACAACCGUACAGCUACCAAUGAGGCUUGGG
Molecule: unclassified non-coding RNA, 203 nt
Filed under: Hevea brasiliensis (rubber tree)
Lineage: Eukaryota; Viridiplantae; Streptophyta; Magnoliopsida; Malpighiales; Euphorbiaceae
Source: RNAcentral